Molecule: non-coding RNA, 6530 nt
Organism: Monodelphis domestica (gray short-tailed opossum)
Lineage: Eukaryota; Metazoa; Chordata; Mammalia; Didelphimorphia; Didelphidae
Source: RefSeq, a predicted model, not a curated record
CAUUCAGGAUCAGACUCCAACAACUUUUUGAAACUUGACUGUUUAUUGAGAACAUAGUUCCUUCCACUCAAAUCUUCUGUUCCACCCUUCCCCCACCUCAGCCUGUCCACCCAGCCACACACCCAAGAAUGUAAAGGAUAUUUUGGUCAGGGCUUUAGAGAAAACAAAAUUCAGGAGCUAGCUUCAAAGUCCUGAAUGUCAAAUCCUGUUAUGUGAAAGGGGGAUUAGAUAUUUUAUAUAGCUCUAGAGGGAAGUAGAUAUAGGGAGGCACAUUUGAUAUGGUAAGAACUUCAACAAUUAGGCCUGCUCAACAGUGCAGUUGGCUGACUCAUGAGUAAGAGAGCUUCCUGUCAGUGAAAAGGCUCUAACACAAAAUGUCUGACCUCCCAACUACAAGGAAAAUUUCUCUGUGUGUAUAGUUGGACUAGAUGAUUUCCAAGUUCUCUUCUGUGUCUAUGAUUCUAAGAGAAAAUUGCUCUGUGAAUUUUUUUCUCUUUCCCUGGCCCCAAAUGAAUAUUUUAUACAAGCAAAAUGAAUACUAUUAUCAGUCUCAAAAGAAGGAAAAAUCAAAAGGGUUCAGAGGGGAGCAAUUCCUUGUUAAAAAUGAUUACAAAUGGAUUCUAUAUAUGUUGAUUGACUUUAAUGAGUUAGAUUGCCUUGAGUAAUUUAUAAAUUUCAGACUGUAUAGAUAAUAAUAAUGAUGAUAUAGCCUUCCUUCCUUCUUCCUUUCCUCCCUUCCUUCAAUCCAGUCUCUCUGUCUCUCCUAAAGCACCCACUCACAGUACUUACUCUGGAGCCAACUGCCCUCUUUUCAAUAGUCCCUGUGGUAAUUCAAAUGAAGUACCUUGGACAAUCCCUUGGAUAUGCUAUGCCAAGGGGUCUACAUGUGGAAAUCUAGACUUUUUUAAUGAUAAAAUAUCACAUUGUCAUGAAAUAUGCUGCCACUUUCCAGAAAUAGUUGGAGAAGUAGUUCACUAGCAGAGUGGAUAUACCCCUGGCCUUGGCAUGUGAAAGAAAAUUCUUGGUUCUCUUUGUCUAUUCUGAGUUUACACUUGUAAAAAAGGGAAUCCUUUAUUCUCUUUGUGUAGUUGGAGUUAACACUUUGGUUAACAAUAAAUUAAGUACCCUUAUUUAUUACCUCACUAGAUUAACUCUCCUUUCUCUACCUUUUGAUUGAAUUGACAAAAGCUUGAACUAAGUGGAGGAGCUCAAAAACCACUUAGAGAAUUCACACCCUCAGAAACUCAAUCAGUCAGGAAUCUGUGAACCCUUUUGAUGAGAAUUUACCCCUCCAGAAGGCAAGAAGCAAAUCCCACAGACACUGCCAGUGUCUAGGCAAUUUGGAAACUGUGAUUGGCCCCUGUGAAGAGGGGAAGAGACAAGAAGCCACCAUAAAAGGCCCUGAAUUUCUGGGGCUAAAAAAGUCAGCUUCAAGAAGGAAGUGGGCUUCAAGAAGAAAGUCAUCUUUAAGAAGAAAAUUGACCUCAGGAGUAAUCUUCAGCUCAAGUCAUAGUCUUGACUUACCUCUUGGAGGGAACUUAGGUAUUUGGGGCUCAGUAUCCUGGUCUGUCUCCAUUGUGGUCUGAGGAGAGAGAUCUUCUAUUAAGCAUUUACCAGCAUACCCCUGCUAAAUGCCUUCCCAACUUGAUAGAACCUGCCAGCUCUUGCAGUCGACUGAUUAUAAGAAACCAGGUUUGACUCAGACUAGUCUUAUAGCUCAGGUUUAAUAUGGGGACAAAAUGAAACAGCCAUUGGUCAUUUGCCUGUAUUGCAAAAUUGUACAAAAGGGCUAAGUCAAAAUAUAUAUUUAUUUAAAGAGUUGAGGAUAUAGUUUUCAUUGCUUAAAAGUAACUGAGAGAUCAAAUCAUCUAGUUCAUUGCCAAAAUUUGAGAGAUGAAGCCAAUAUGAAUCUCCAGAACAAAUAAAUAUAUGGUAAUAACUUGUCCAAAGUUACAGAAGUAAUAAGUAGCAGACUCAGGAUUUGAACCUAGAUCUUCUGAAUCAAGAUUCAAUACUCUUUUUCACUAUAGCACACUUUUUCAUAUUAGAUGAAAAAAAUGAAUGGGAUCAUAGUAUUUUAGGGUCAUGCAAAUCCUUUAAUACAACCUCAAUAUAAUAAUGAAUUUCUCUACUUGAAAUAUGAGGAAACAAAAUUAAAGAGAACCAACUUUUCCCCAAACCAUAUAACUGUUUAGUGAUAGAAAUGGUAGCCCAGUUCUUUCUGUCACAUUUUUGUGCCUUGGAACAAAAUUAAAUCUAUGACCAGCAAUUUCUAAAAGAACUUAUCAUAGGGGAUAUAGUGCUGUAGUUGGAAUUAGGAAUACCUUGGUUCAAAUCCUACCAUGACCAUUCACAGUGUAUGGCCCUGGAAAAGUCAAGUAAUAACCCCUUUGGCCCUCAACUUCCUCAUCUGCAAAGUGAAGGGAUUGGACUCAAUGGACUCUAAGUCUCUUCUUAUUCUAAAGCUAUGUUUCUAUGACUUUUUAAACAAUUGAACUAGGUGAAAGGGACUCCCAAAGUGGAUUUAGGAGUCUGGAUUUUCUGGGUUGAUAAUUAUAUAUCUCUACUUGCCUAAAAUAGAAGUAUUUUCUACUAGCAUGGAAAAGUUAUUUUUCCUAUAAAAUCUUAACUUGUUCCAUUCAUAUUCAGCCCUACUAUUAUCUUUAUCUCCUAUUGUCCCUCAGAUUACAAAGUAAGAGGAAUACAAAGAGUUGAGGUAGGCAAACCCAACCUCAGUUUCCAAAUCCUAAUCUCCAUAUGACUUCUUACCAAUUCUAAGAAGCUAGAAACAAGACAUAUUGUGUUUCGCAUUAAGCUUUCUAAUACUUUUUUACCACUGAUAUGUGAACAUUUAUCGUUCAUGGCAAUUAUAAGCAUUGAUUGUCUGAAAAUAAGCUAGUCAUAUGGCAAGAUUAAGAUAAGUCACAUGGCAGGAUGGAGAAAAUAGGUAAAUAAGGGGCAAGAAGGGCAGGCAUUUAUUGAGAAUGUAUGAUAUGAUAUUCCAGGCACUGUGCUAAACACUUUUACAAAUAUUUUAUCCUAACUGGGUUAAGUGACUUAUCCAAGGUCAUGUACCUAGUAAGGUCUGAGGUCAGAUUUGAACUGAGGUCUUUCUGACUUGACUCAACAAACACUCUAUUCUCUGCACCACCUAACUGUCUUCAAGCAGCUCAGGAUAGUGUGAGCAAGUGAUACAUAAAUGUCCUUGCUAUGUCAGAAGAAAGGAAGGAAGAUCCUUGGUGUGUUGAGUGGAUCCUCUAUUGGAAACAUGGAAAGUUAUAAAUAAAAGUCAGAGUGGGCUGGACAUGGUUAGAUUAGAGAGAAUAUCUGAAAGAAUAAGAUUACAAAUCUUAUUGUAGUAGUAGAAAGAACAAAAGAUGCUACCUGGAACUAGUGCAUUCCAUAGGAUCAAAAUGUACCUCAACUCUGUACUUGUGAAUGGUCAAGGAAUGAAAUUUUGUACUUUUUCCAAUAUUAUGGGAAAUUGACUUAAUGUUAUAUGUGAUUAUAAAUUUAACCAGUGAGUUAUAAUACAAUAAAGUACAAACAAUACUAAAACUAUACUGGACAUAACUCAGACCUUAAUGACUUAAAAAGCAGGGUGAGAUUAUACAUUUUUUCGGGGAUAUCAUCAUAAUACAUUUUAAUCAUUUGAUUAAUCUUAGAUAUCAUGGCUUUCUGAGGUAUUAGAGUUUGACCAUCCCAAGGGCAGGAAAGACAGGGCUGCCCGGUACCUCCAAUACCUUGUUAUGUCCAGAAAGACAGAGUUGACAUCAACUGAUUGUCACUUUUCCAUCCUAGAUCUUUAAAUUCACUUUUGUCUAAACUUCCUUCUGGCUUUUUGACUCUGUCUAUCUUUCUUGGUUGCAUUUUGACUUUAGCAGCAGUAGUUUAAUGGAAUAAUCUCUGUGCAGGAAGUCAGAAAACAUGGAUUCAAAUUUCACUUCUGUCUUUACAAAGAGUUUCAUUCUGGAGAAUUUAUUUAGUCUUAUGGGCUCUUAAUUUCUUCAGUAAGAAGAUGAAGGACUUGGAUUAUCUUGAUCCUUCUACUCUCUGUGAUAUAAUUCUAAUGAGUUAACACUUACUAAGUGGUCAAUCAUUGUAAGACAUUGUGAAAAAAAUUAAAAUGAGGGAAAAUGGAUAUUGAUCUGUUCUUUUAAAGUCAUCUAUAUUUUCUCUCCUUUGUUUCUCCUAGAGUGCCAUUUUUCAGAGAAGGGAAUAAAAAAGAAGAAAUCAGUAUAACCAACCCAUAAAAAGAUGGGCAUUAUAUUCUGCAAUAAAUCUAAUUUCCUCCAACUAUGCAAAAAAAUGGGCCUUUGUAUCUCUUUAUUGGGGCCAAAUUUUGUUAUUAUGUGUUCAUAGAAUUUGGUAUGGAUUGUUUCAUUAUUGGUGCUUUCACUUAUAUUGUUGUAUCCAUUAUAUAUUCCUGAUUCUGCUUAUUUCACUCUACAUCAGUUAAUUUAAAUCUUCCUGUACCUCUCUGUAAUAAUCACAUUCAUUAUAGAAACAAAAAAUUGUUGUUUUUCCAACUUACCCAUUCCUUGGCUUUCUUGCCUUGAAUAUGUUCUCCCUAUGUUGUGUCAGAAUUUUAAUAAAUCUGGCAUGAAGACAAAAAUGAGAAGCAGUCGAUGACCUUGAAAGUGUUAUACUUGAUGGACAAUACUGUAUGCACACAAAGAUAUAUAACACAAGGAAAUUUCAUACAGGAGAAAGCAAAUGGGAGAAAUCUAGAAAAUCUCCAUACAAGAGGUUACUUUUAAGUUGAAUACUGAAGGGAGGUAAGAGAGAUAGAAAUGAAGAAGUAUAGGGAAAAUAAAAUAGAAAUAUAUGGAAGUGGAAAAGUUCAUGAAAAGUAAGAGUAUAAAAUAAGAUUGGGAAAGUCAAUGGCAACCACAUUAGGAAUGUCUCCUAAGAUUCUAAUCUAAGGAGCUUAUAUUUUAUCCUUUAAGCAAUGGAGUGACCAGGGAGAGGGAUGUAUUAAGGUUUACAACCAAAGGUGUUACAUGGUCAGACUUGUGCCUUAGAAAGAUUAUUUUGGCAACUGUUAAAGAGAGUACAUCAGAGAAAUAAAAAAACUAGAAGAGGUAAAAGACUUAGGAGGUUAUUAUAGAAGUGUGAGAAAGAUCAAAUACGAAUUUAAGCCUAGAAUGAUGGCUCUUUGAGUAGAGAGAAGUAAACAGGUGCAAGAGAUAUUGUGCAGAUAAAAUCAGUAAGAUUUAGUCAAUUAAUUGUAUAUAGAAAGAAAGAGAAGCCUAAGAUUUGAGGAUAAUUCUGCAUUCACGAACCUGGGAAUCUGAUACAAUAGAGAUCCAAUCUGAAGAAAGAGGGAUAUUUGGAGGAAGGGUGGAUUUGGAGUAUGUGAGGGAGAUUAUUCUAAAAUUCAAUGAUUAUACUCAUUUCAUCUUUCUGUCUUAUGUCUUUCGAUAGCUUGGUUCACAGAUUCUGCCUUCUCUGCCCUCACCAACAUUUAUUCAUCAAUUCCCUUUUCUUCCAAAUAGCUCUAAAGACUUGAGUCAAUGAGCCAAAUCUGCUUAUUGAUUUCAGUGCUCUGACCUGGGCUCCUGCUGAUUUAACCUUCUAUUGUCAGCCCCUACUGCCCCAUGAAUUUUAGUUCCCCUUGAGAUAUGGUAGCAGUGGUGCCAAUUAGCAGAAGUGUCCAGCAGGUAAAAUGUCAGGUGAUCAAGUUGUAAAUUUUUAACCCGGUUUAUUAGUCUCAUAAACUCAGGGUAGUACUUUCUGGAUGUUGAUAUACCUACAUUUGCUUAUUAUGGCUUCACUUUGAUGAAACAAUAAUGAGGAUUAGAGACCAGACAUGGAAAACCACAAAUGCUGCACCAGCUGAAACAACAACAACAAAAACAACACAGAAAUCAAAGCUAAAAGAGCGUCAGUUGGUCAUGUGUUAGAACAACCUAAUGCUGAACUUAGACAUAGGAUAUAAAUUCAAUUACUGGAUAUAACACAUCCAUCUCUGGAGUUAAGACACUUAAACAAAUCACUAAUGACUUCAAAGUUUCUUGCAACACUACCACCUUCCUCUAAAACUUCUGUCAUCGAAGUGCACGAGAUUUCUAGAAGACUAAGCCAUUGGAGCACCAACUCUGGUUUGGCAGAUCUUACCAAAAUGGAAUAGCUUCAAGGGUAUCUAGAUGACAGGCCAUUGUGUUUAUUGACUGAGAAUUAGCCAAGCUAAGUUAGAGAGGUUGAUCACCUUGUUGGAUGUGAGAAUGAUGAAUUUGUAGAGAGCAAGAACUUCCGUUUUUAGUCAUUUUUUGGUAAUCCUAGCAUUUAGCAUAGUGUCUGACAAAUAGGAAGUGUCCUUGUUGACUUGACUAUAAAGCCUAAAAGAGUUGUUUAAUAUAUUGAUGGAGAGAAUUCACUAACCAACAAAAUAAAGAUCCUUUUGGAACCAAGUAAAUAUAUCUGGGCCCCGCAAAUAUUUCUUCCUCUGGAAAUCCUUGCUGUUUUCCCCAAGUUUAGAGUGAGCUGUUUUGGGUAAUCAGUUUUGUAAAUCAUGACCCAAGCUUCCA